CAACACUGAAGAACAAAGGAAUCAGCAUUGGACUGGGGAGGAAUCCUAAAUGAAAGAAGUUCAAGCUAGCAGGAUUGCCAGAACAUGUGGGUUCCCGCAGACUUCAGAGGGAUUUGUGCAAGCCUCAUUGUAUGACGGGAUGCCAAUGAGUGGCAGGGUGAGGAGGCAGGAGGAACCUCAGCGGAAGGUCCCGAGGAAGAGAAGCAUGUGAUUCUGCACCACUACCCACUUAAGGAAGCUCUCACUAACGAGGCUGAAAAGGACCUUGAGCUGCUGCAGGAACCAGAACCCAAGUAAGAAAGGCUGGAAUGUUUUUCAUCAGCUCCUUGCAGAUCACUCUUCUGAUGGACAGCUCAUGGAAUAUUAGAUCUGGC
Molecule: non-coding RNA, 374 nt
Organism: Pelodiscus sinensis (Chinese soft-shelled turtle)
Lineage: Eukaryota; Metazoa; Chordata; Testudines; Trionychidae
Source: RefSeq, a predicted model, not a curated record